This 856-nucleotide long non-coding RNA is filed under the name Oryctolagus cuniculus (rabbit). RNAcentral describes it as "lncRNA (ENSOCUG00000035123.1)". Lineage: Eukaryota; Metazoa; Chordata; Mammalia; Lagomorpha; Leporidae. The record is from RNAcentral.
AUGACACCAAAGGGCUACCGGCCCCUGAUCGCCAGAAGCGACCCUGCGCGGUCGGCUCAAGCUCCAGCGCCCAACGCCAAUGGGCGUCCCAGUGCGGCGAGUUCCCCCCGGAGAAAGCCGCGGCCGCCUCUCCGCGUGGCCCGGGGACUGAGGGGGGCCCCCACGACCCUCGUCCCCCAGUUGCGUGACGCAACAACUUCACAGCAGACCUCAUCGUGCAAGGGGAGGUGUUGGCGCGUGCAGCGUAGCCUGCGUGCCCGGGGCCGUCUCCAGGACGCGCGGGGAUAUUUUCAACAGGAAAGUCGACAGCCCCAUAAGCGCCGAGUCUGCGCAGCAGGCGGCCGAAUGCGUGUCUUUUUUGCCCUAAAUGAAAUGUGCGUUCUUCUAAAUUUAGCGCCAUCGCGUUUGAACAAUUGCGGCCUCGCGGAGCUAUUCCUGGUGUUUUCUCCGGGGCUGCGUGCACAUCCAAGUUCAAGGCCGCCUGCUGUAGUUUCACGGCGCACGCCCUCGGAGACCUUUGAUAAGGCUGUAUUUUUAGGAAGGCAUUUCGCUGCGCCUCCCUCUAGCUGGAGGACACUUGGGGAGCCGCCGGCCCCCGGCCCCGGCGUUCGUAAAUACCACCAGCUAAGGAGGUCAGAAGUGUGUGUUUCCCGUCGUGUGCUCGCCCCCCCGGCCGGAUGUGAUUUAUGGGGAACAGAUAUAGAUCACCCAGAAGUCUCUCGGCGUCCCCCAGGCGAGCCCCCACCCCCACCCCCCGACCGACGGACCCCCCGGGAACACGAGGACGGCGCUGGAUGGCUUUUAAGCCCCCGUCUCCAGGGAGCCUGAGCACACUGGGGGAGUAACCGCCGCGUGC